UGCCCAGCAACUCCUAUCCCUACCUUCUCGUGGUACUGGCCGGGGUACGAGUAACCUUGGGGAAGAUCGGGUAACCAACCCCCGGUGGGAACUUUGGUCGUAUGCUGACAGGGAAGG
Non-coding RNA from Aedes aegypti (yellow fever mosquito), 117 nucleotides. The record is from Rfam. Lineage: Eukaryota; Metazoa; Arthropoda; Insecta; Diptera; Culicidae.